This 253-nucleotide ribosomal RNA is filed under the name uncultured bacterium. Its description in RNAcentral is "partial 16S ribosomal RNA". It matches the Rfam family "Bacterial small subunit ribosomal RNA", at positions 524 to 776 of the family's 1533-position model. The record is from RNAcentral.
UACGUAGGGGGCGAGCGUUGUCCGGAUUUACUGGGCGUAAAGAGCGCGUAGGCGGAUAUCUAAGCGUGGCCUGAAAGCCCCCGGCUCAACCGGGGAGUGCGGCUGCGAACUGGGUUUCUUGAGGACGAUAGAGGAGAGUGGAAUUCCUGGUGUAGCGGUGAAAUGCGUAGAUAUCAGGAGGAACACCAGUGGCGAAGGCGGCGGUCUGGGCCGUAACUGACGCUGAGAAGCGAAAGCGUGGGGAGCAAACAGG